CGCAGGCGAGUGCCGUGCUUGGCAUCGGCGUGUGCGACGCGUUUGCUGCGUUAUCUGCGCAGCGCCGGUGUGUGGCCGGCGCCUGCGCC
This 89-nucleotide transfer RNA is filed under the name Xanthomonas campestris pv. campestris. RNAcentral's name for it is "tRNA-Arg". The record is from RNAcentral. Lineage: Bacteria; Pseudomonadati; Pseudomonadota; Gammaproteobacteria; Lysobacterales; Lysobacteraceae.